CCUACGGGAGGCAGCAGUGAGGAAUAUUGGUCAAUGGACGAGAGUCUGAACCAGCCAAGUAGCGUGAAGGAUGACUGCCCUAUGGGUUGUAAACUUCUUUUAUAUGGGAAUAAAACGUUCCACGUGUGGGAUUUUGUAUGUACCAUAUGAAUAAGGAUCGGCUAACUCCGUGCCAGCAGCCGCGGUAAUACGGAGGAUCCGAGCGUUAUCCGGAUUUAUUGGGUUUAAAGGGAGCGUAGGUGGAUUGUUAAGUCAGUUGUGAAAGUUUGCGGGUCAACCGUAAAAUUGCAGUUGAAACUGGCAGUCUUGAGUACAGUAGAGGUGGGCGGAAUUCGUGGUGUAGCGGUGAAAUGCUUAGAUAUCACGAAGAACUCCGAUUGCGAAGGCAGUUCACUGGACUGCAACUGACACUGAGGCUCGAAAGUGUGGGUAUCAAACAGGAUUAGAUACCCCAGUAGUC
RNAcentral lists this ribosomal RNA (460 nucleotides) under uncultured bacterium. RNAcentral describes it as "partial 16S ribosomal RNA". It matches the Rfam family "Bacterial small subunit ribosomal RNA", at positions 338 to 795 of the family's 1533-position model. The record is from RNAcentral.